ACAGCCACAAGACCCUGGAAUUUGAAGUCACAUUCCUUCAAGCAGUGGUCACAAACCAGCAGAUAAACUGCAUUAUGGUGUCUAUGUGCAAAUUGAGUUUCAUCAGGCUGCAGAAGGCAGCGUUGGUUACACUGCAGCUCCAGGAGGAGUGGCAAGGCAUUUCAGAAGCAAGCUAUAUUACAGCAGAGUGGGAGGAAUUACGGGACAUUUACUGUUCAGGACCAAGAAGAUGAUGUAAGAUGCCAAUUAAGAAACUCAAGAUUGGUCAUCUUCUGUUCACAUUGGUGGAAGAUGGAGGGGCCUUGACACCACACAGAAGAUAAUAAUGUCUCACAUGAACAGGCUGCAAAGUUUCCAACUGCUCGAAACUGGCAGAUCAACCAGGAAAUUACAAAUCUUUAUAGGAUGAGAGGUAAGCUGGUGAAACUGUUUCUGAGAUGAAGUCUUGCAGGAAUGUUAAAAGGUUUAAAGCAAGAGAUCUAAGAGAAAAAUCUAUAAUGUGAGACCCUGACUGGAAGAAGGCUGAUUAGGUUGGGAUUAGCACUUGUGGUGAUACAUCUGAAAAAGAUGGCUCUGUGGUGGUAAAAAUCCAUGAAGAUCUGAUCUUAAAACUGCUAUGGGCUCCUGAGGGAAAGCUCUUAAGGGCCAUCUUGGAUUGACAUUAAACCCUGUGAAAGGCUGCAUGUUUGUAAUCAGUUUAGUGAUGUACAAAGCUGAUGUUUGAAACGAGGGGUGAGAUUGGUGCCUGACAAUUCAGUUACAGUUUGUAACAGAAACCCAGCACUGCAAUAACAAAUAUGAAUGUGAUGUACAGUUGUGGCUUUACUUUUCAUUUACAUAGGCAGUUAUGAUCUGGAAUUGGAUUUAUGAACAGAAGGGAAAGCUGCAAAGUUUGUCAGACUCAUCCUUUGGGCACAAUCCCAGAUGUUAAUUUUGCAUGUAUUUCAGGCCUUUCUGGUGUAACAAUUUGCUGCUGGAGUCAAGUUUAAGAAGUGGAAAAGAGACUGAUAAUGUUGUACAGUAGGGAUAUAGCCAGAAGCAAUAAAUGAAUUAAUAAAGCCCUUCAUUAUCUCCUCAUUAUCAAGUAUAAAUUCAGCCAGUGCAAAGUUAAGAAAGAGUAAAAGUUGCAGAACAGAGAGAUGAAGUAUUUCAUUUUGCUAUAUUGCAAUGUCCUGGCUCUCAGACAUUGUUUCAGCUUAAAGAGGGUUAUGAUCAGUCUUAAACACAAAAGCUAAAGGCUAUAUUCUCCUGUGUAAGCAAAAAUAAUUCUGUAAUGUGGUUGGUUUAUUCCAGUUUAUACUGUGUGUGUUUUGCAGCCUUCUGGAAAUAACUCAAAGUGCCUCUGAUGUGAGGCUGGUGAAUCAGCUCUAAGUUUAUCUGAAUGAAGUAUUCAUCUGAUAAUCUUGCCUACUGA
Molecule: long non-coding RNA, 1414 nt
Organism: Pogoniulus pusillus (Red-fronted tinkerbird)
Lineage: Eukaryota; Metazoa; Chordata; Aves; Piciformes; Lybiidae
Exons: 3
Source: RefSeq, a predicted model, not a curated record